RNAcentral lists this transfer RNA (35 nucleotides) under Andrias davidianus (Chinese giant salamander). Its description in RNAcentral is "partial tRNA-Phe". The record is from RNAcentral. Lineage: Eukaryota; Metazoa; Chordata; Amphibia; Caudata; Cryptobranchidae.
GUCAGUAUAGCUUAUUUAAAGCGUGGCACUGAAAA